Molecule: long non-coding RNA, 754 nt
Organism: Cavia porcellus (domestic guinea pig)
Lineage: Eukaryota; Metazoa; Chordata; Mammalia; Rodentia; Caviidae
Exons: 4
Source: RefSeq, a predicted model, not a curated record
CACAGUAACAGCUCAUCAUGAAAUGGAAGAGGUGCACAUGUGAUCAACACAGGGCAUCCAUUUGGCAGAAGCAAGUAUAGAAAAGAAGCAAAACACUUACAAUGCAGAAGUUCCCUUAAGCUUGCAGGGUGCUGGGACUGUUCCUUGGGACCAGAUCUCCUGAGGAUGCGAAGCCGAGGAGAGGGCUGUGUGUUCUCAGGCCCUGUACACAGAGGCUGACGCCCAGAUGAUGGAGGCAGGAGGAUACGUGGUGCACCCUACACAUCGCUGAAAGUCUCCUGUGCCACUUCAGGAUUCACAUUCAGUAACUACUGGAUGAUCUGGGUCCGCCAGUCUGAAGGAAAGUGGCUGGAGUGGAUCUUUCACAUAAACUCUGACAGUAGUAAAAUAUAUUACACCGACUUCAUGAAGGACAGAUUCACCAACAGGGACAACGGCAAGAAAACACUGUAUCUGCAGAUGAGCAUCCUGAGACCCGAAGACAGGGCCAUGUAUUACUGUGAGAGAUUCACAGUGAGUGGACAUCCGUUGAAGCCCAGACACAAACCUCCCUGCAGAGGCAUGGGAACCUGCAGGGGGCACUGUGUCCCACAGAGAAACAGCCCAGGAGCAGGUGCAGGGGAAGAAGCUGGCAAAUGAGGGCUUCCUGGUGGCCUCUGGGGUUUCCUCUCUGCUUUAAAUCCUGUCACCCAUGGACACCCUGAAAUUCAAAGACUUCAGAUGGCGUCCGAUGUGUUCAAGUAAACAUUUUCAU